AGUUAGGGUUGCCAACUCCCUGAAAAAUAAAUAUAGGGACACCUAGUUGGCAGGGCCGGCUGACCCGAUUGCGUUCACCCCUCCCGGCUUAGUGAAAGCCGGGAGGUUUUUAGUGAUACGAAUACAUGGAAAACUAAUUAUUAUUCAACCAUUUAUUUAUUUAAAUCUGUCCUGCUCAACUUAACAGAAUAAAAUAAAUAUCUUUCUUCUAACAGAACGCAGUCCUGCUUAACGUAACAGAAUAAAAUAACAAAAAACAAUAGAAAGCAGAAAAUUCUUGUAAUAGUGCACAUUUAGUGCAAUAAGAAAAGUGCAAACAGAAAGUCUGUGGAAAAGUUGUAAACAUAAACACUUUGUACCUCAAAAUCUUGUCUUCCGGUAUCUUCUUGCAACAACGGUCCCUCGACCAAUGAAAAGAGCCGGAUUCUGCAUUGUCAUUCUUGUGUGUGAGUGUGCUGUCAGCUCAUUGGUCACAGACCAGGACAGGGCUGGCAAUAAGAAUACCAUAAAUUUUCAUAUAAAACGCCCUGUCAUUCAUUGAUUCCAUUGACAUUUUACAGACUAUUUUGAUUCUCGCGGAAAUACGGGACAAAGUAUUUUCAGCUCAAUACGGGACACGCAAUUUCUUUUCUAAAUACGGGACGAUUCCGUUAUUUCAAGGGGCGGUUGGCGACCCUACUUCCAGUCCUUUUGAAUGCCACCUGCUGAUCCACAGAUUUUCUUUUUGCUUUUCACAUAAGCAUCUCUUAAUGCAUUUCAUCUUUACUUGCAAAUGUUGACUGGAACAAAGAGACACAGGAGAAUAAAAUAAUUUCACAUGUAACUUCUCUUUGCUUGUUUUUUCACUCACAGGUAAUUGGUUUCUGAGGACUCACUGGUCAGCCUAGCAUUCAGCUAUCACAUAAGGCCAGCAAAAGACACUUGGAAGGAGGCACAGGGCUUCUGGGGAAAAUUAAAAUUCCCAAAUUGCCAAGGAGCAAUAGAUGGAAAACAUGUUAUCAUACAAGCACCACCAUCAUGGUGGAGUGUAUACUGGAUUGGAGGAAUUGAUACCAGGGUGAUGCAGAUUUCCCACUCAAGCCAUAUUGGAAUCAAACUUCACCCACCAAAAGGAGACACACUUGUGGUGGCUGCAUGCAACUACCUGUCUUAACCCUAGUGAAAACCAGAGGUUGCCAGAUGAGGCAGAGCAGAUGGCCCCAGUAAGAAACACAGAAGGAAACAGGGCAUCAAGGGAGGCCUGUAAUGUGCGGGAGGUCUUUUGCACCUUCUUCAACUCUCCUGAAGGCUUCUUGGCAGGACGGAAUGUUUUUUUGCAGACUCAAAGAAACUGUGCAUAUUCAUUUGCAAAUAGCUGUCUUUUGUUUUUCAGAUUUGUUAUUUUUUAUUAUGUUGGAAAACAAAUUUAAAAAGGCUGAUAACUGAUUUUGCGACCAAGUUGUAUUUUUGUAUUCAUGAAAAGGUCUUGUUUAUGGUGUCUUUCUUUUGAAAAUAAAAUAUAUGAA
This is a long non-coding RNA of Scomber scombrus (Atlantic mackerel), 1505 nucleotides long. RefSeq lists it as uncharacterized. The record is from RefSeq and is a predicted model, not a curated record. NCBI's taxonomy places the organism in Eukaryota, Metazoa, Chordata, Actinopteri, Scombriformes, Scombridae. The transcript has 3 exons.